This is a long non-coding RNA of Leptinotarsa decemlineata (Colorado potato beetle), 320 nucleotides long. The record is from RefSeq and is a predicted model, not a curated record. NCBI's taxonomy places the organism in Eukaryota, Metazoa, Arthropoda, Insecta, Coleoptera, Chrysomelidae.
CUCGCUGGCAAAUUUGUUGGUAAGGUGAAAGUGAAUGGAUAUUCAUAUCGGCCAGGAGCCACAGUUGCUGAAAAUAAUAUGUCAAGAAAUACUAAGCGUCAUCAACAGCAAUAACGGACAACGGUUUUGUGAAAGCACAGUCGGAUAAUCUUCCAAAAAUAGAUACAUUCAUGAUAACCACAUAUUUUGCGUCAAACCCGGAUUUUACAUCUGCUGAGGUUAAGGGAGUAGAAGCUGCAAGAUAAUGAGAUAUCCGAGUUGAAAGUUGGAAUGUUUGGAAUCAAGAGGAAUGAAGACUGGGAAAACCGGAUGGGUUGGUG